RNAcentral lists this ribosomal RNA (429 nucleotides) under Gemmatimonadota bacterium. RNAcentral's name for it is "Gemmatimonadetes bacterium partial 16S ribosomal RNA". It matches the Rfam family "Bacterial small subunit ribosomal RNA", at positions 355 to 776 of the family's 1533-position model. Lineage: Bacteria; Pseudomonadati; Gemmatimonadota. The record is from RNAcentral.
UAGGGAAUCUUCGGCAAUGGACGAAAGUCUGACCGAGCAACGCCGCGUGAGUGAAGAAGGUUUUCGGAUCGUAAAACUCUGUUGUUAGAGAAGAACAAGGACGUUAGUAACUGAACGUCCCCUGACGGUAUCUAACCAGAACGCCACGGCUAACUACGUGCCAGCAGCCGCGGUAAUACGUAGGUGGCAAGCGUUGUCCGGAUUUAUUGGGCGUAAAGCGAGCGCAGGCGGUUUCUUAAGUCUGAUGUGAAAGCCCCCGGCUCAACCGGGGAGGGUCAUGGGAAACUGGGAGACUUGGGUGCAGAAGAGGAGGGUGGAAUUCCAUGUGUAGCGGUGAAAUGCAUAGAUAUAUGGAGGAACACCAGUGGCGAAGGCGGCUCUCUGGUCUAUAACUGACGCUGAGGCUCGACGGCGUGGGGGGCAAACAGG